GGGGGAAGGGACCAGAUUUAAAGGUGCAGCAGCCCCGCCCCUUGAUAGACCUAGGAGGGCAGAUUCUGGCUGCCAGGGAGACUAGUGGCGCCCACCAUGCAAUUUCGACGCCUGACUCCUGGCUACUUCCGGAUUCUACAGAUGCAGGUGGCAGGGGAGCUGAAGGCAGAGCCCCGGAGUCCACUGGUUGGGGUUGUUGCUACACUGC
Long non-coding RNA from Phyllostomus discolor (pale spear-nosed bat), 208 nucleotides. RefSeq lists it as uncharacterized. The transcript is spliced from 3 exons. The record is from RefSeq and is a predicted model, not a curated record. NCBI's taxonomy places the organism in Eukaryota, Metazoa, Chordata, Mammalia, Chiroptera, Phyllostomidae.